This is a non-coding RNA of Thalictrum thalictroides, 305 nucleotides long. Lineage: Eukaryota; Viridiplantae; Streptophyta; Magnoliopsida; Ranunculales; Ranunculaceae. The record is from the annotation of a GenBank genome assembly.
GCCGAGCUCAGUAACACGGGCUUGUAACUCAUGUGAGGGCAUUAAGGUGAUUGGACUUUGGGCUUUGCUUGAUCUGGUUGGGCUUGUGCUGCACAUACUGACUCGCCCGUUCCAAGUUGGGAGUUGGACUAUGUGUGACAGGCGAAGGCCUGUGCCACUUGGUUCCUAGAGUGGAGGGGACCUCGUCAGGCUGGUUUCACAGAGCAGCGAAAACCUCCCUCUCUUGACAGUGGAAGGAUAACGAGACGGGUGCUCCAUCGGUCCGCUAUGGCCAGAUGGGCCCAGUCCAAAGAACUAUCACUUUU